AGCUCCAAUAGCGUAUAUUAAAGUUGUUGCGGUUAAAAAGCUCGUAGUUGGAUUUCUGUCGGUGAGUGGCGGUCCGCCCCUUGUGGUGAGCACUCGUCAAGCCACCGGCAUCCUCCUGGGGACUGCGCUGCACUUUACUGUGUGGCGGACUAUCCAGGACAUUUACUUUGAGGAAAUGAGAGUGUUUCAAGCAAGCAUCUGCCGUGAAUACGUUAGCAUGGAAUGAUAGCAUCGGACCUCGAUCUGAAGCUGUUGGUUAUUUGGGUC
RNAcentral lists this ribosomal RNA (267 nucleotides) under uncultured eukaryote. RNAcentral describes it as "partial small subunit ribosomal RNA". It matches the Rfam family "Eukaryotic small subunit ribosomal RNA", at positions 587 to 858 of the family's 1831-position model. The record is from RNAcentral.